This 76-nucleotide microRNA precursor is filed under the name Pelobates cultripes (western spadefoot toad). The record is from RNAcentral. Lineage: Eukaryota; Metazoa; Chordata; Amphibia; Anura; Pelobatidae.
CUGCAUUAUAUACACACUCUGCAUUAUAUACACAGAGUGUGUGUAUAUAAUGCAGAGUGUGUAUAUAAUGCAGAGU